UGGGGGAUAUUGCACAAUGGGCGAAAGCCUGAUGCAGCGACGCCGCGUGGGGGAUGAAGGCUUUCGGGUUGUAAACCUCUUUCGCUAUCGAACAAGGCCCGCUUAGGGUGGGUUGAGGGUAGGUGGAGAAGAAGCGCCGGCUAACUACGUGCCAGCAGCCGCGGUAUACGUAGGGCGCGAGCGUUGUCCGGAAUUAUUGGGCGUAAAGGGCUUGUAGGCAGCUUGUUGCGCCUGUUGUGAAAACGCGGGGCUUAACUUCGCGCGUGCAGUGGGUACGGGCAGGCUUGAGUGUGGUAGGUGUGACUGGAAUUCCAGGUGUAGCGGUAGAAUGCGCAGAUAUCUGGAGGAACACCGAUGGCGAAGGCAGGUCACUGGGCCAUUACUGACGCUGAGGAGCGAAAGCAUGGGUAGCGAACAGG
This 419-nucleotide ribosomal RNA is filed under the name bacterium. RNAcentral describes it as "partial 16S ribosomal RNA". It matches the Rfam family "Bacterial small subunit ribosomal RNA", at positions 355 to 776 of the family's 1533-position model. The record is from RNAcentral.